GACGAACGCUGGCGGCGUGCUUAACACAUGCAAGUCGAACGGAAAGGCCCUGCUUUUGUGGGGUGCUCGAGUGGCGAACGGGUGAGUAACACGUGAGUAACCUGCCCUUGACUUUGGGAUAACUUCAGGAAACUGGGGCUAAUACCGGAUAGGAGCUCCUGCUGCAUGGUGGGGGUUGGAAAGUUUCGGCGGUUGGGGAUGGACUCGCGGCUUAUCAGCUUGUUGGUGGGGUAGUGGCUUACCAAGGCUUUGACGGGUAGCCGGCCUGAGAGGGUGACCGGCGACCUUGGGACUGAGAUACGGCCCAGACUCCUACGGGAGGCAGCAGUGGGGAAUAUUGCACAAUGGGCGGAAGCCUGAUGCAGCAACGCCGCGUGCGGGAUGCCGGCCUUCGGGUUGUAAACCGCUUUCGCCUGUGACGAAGCGUGAGUGACGGUAAUGGGUCAAGAAGCACCGGCUAACUACGUG
RNAcentral lists this ribosomal RNA (468 nucleotides) under uncultured bacterium. RNAcentral's name for it is "partial 16S ribosomal RNA". It matches the Rfam family "Bacterial small subunit ribosomal RNA", at positions 28 to 507 of the family's 1533-position model. The record is from RNAcentral.